RNAcentral lists this small RNA (121 nucleotides) under bovine gut metagenome. RNAcentral's name for it is "Ribosomal protein L10 leader". It matches the Rfam family "Ribosomal protein L10 leader". Rfam says of the family: This family is a putative r-protein leader autoregulatory structure found in B. subtilis and other low-GC Gram-positive bacteria. It is located in the 5' untranslated regions of mRNAs encoding ribosomal proteins L10 and L12 (rplJ-rplL). The record is from RNAcentral.
ACAUAUAAAGUACCAAAGACAGUAGGAGCAUUUAUGCAUAACUAUUAUUCCUACCGAGGACGAUUAAUAAAACAUGGUUUUAAAGUCUUUGUUUUGGUAUGAACAAAGGCUUUUUAAUUUA